UGCCCUUAGGGCUAUUGUCUCCUGUGCGUCUGUGUAAAUUUGGUUCGGUUGAUUGUACGUCGUAGAGGCCAUUCGUCUGUCCGCGUGUGUGUUUGAGCUUUGCCAGGGUCUGUUUUGAAGAACGAACUGUCAUGUUGAGUUCAUGUAUAAUGCACCAGAGCAACGCGGCUGCGCGCACUUCGUGUAAUGCUCAAGAAAGAAAGAAUAUCUGCCACUCACAUUCUGAAGGUUGGGAUUCAUCUUCUGACCUGCGACUUUUGUUUGUCAUGUGUAAGUUGCCGAUUGCCUAACUUCCACAUGGACAUGGUGGUGCGCAGCGCACACCGGAGACCGGCCGGAUUGUGUGCCUGACGGAAGGGAUUUCGGGCCGGCCGCCGGAAAGCCGAGAGCGACGAGGCAAUGCCCGGGUCGUCGCCUGUGGGUGGCUGUAGCGCGACGAUUCUCCGCAACUUGGUAAAAUGGGUGCCCGGCUGUUCCUUGUUACUACUUCCAUCGGCCACUACCACAGGAAACUCGAGAUCGGCGUGGAGGUGCUCGCCCUCGCCAUGCGAUUCCCGGUGUGGGAAAUCGGACGAACUUUGUGGCAUGUUCGUUUUGGCACCUCUCCCUCCUCUGCUCGGCUAGUAUAAUGGUCUAUAGCUGGCCAAACGGGCCGGGCCAAUCAGGCCAGCGCACGAUCACGCCGGCACGGCCUGCUCGUCGUGCCUGGCACGCAGCACAACUUGGGUCAUGCCUGGGCCUAGAGACUGGGCCUGACACGCGGGCCGGCACGGCAUGGCCCGUUUAGUAUUUUUAUUUUUUUCAGAAAUUUACAUAUACAUAAUAUGACCUAAAUUACAGCACAAUAAGCUUAAAAUACAGUCCAAUAGGCUGAAACAUAUGUGGCCUAGUGUGCUAAACGUGCCACGGGUCGGCCUGUUUAAUAACCAGACCGUGCCUAGGCCGAGGAGUGGCACACGUGGGCCGGCCCGGCCCGGCUACUAAACGUGCCAGCUCUGUAAUGGUGCUCUUGGUUAUAGCGAUCACACUGGCGCACAUUGGACUGUUUUGCUAAAGCACGUCCUUCGCCUCCAGCUGAAUCUCUGGAUCGAUAGCUCCAUGAGGCGAGCACCCCUAUUCCCCGCCUACAGCGAGUGUAACUCGUGACUCGCUUAAGGGGGCGAGCAAUAUACCCACGCGCAAGUGAGGCUGAAGCCUGUUUUUCUGUGUUUUUACAAUUUCUGUUUCUGUUUUUGUUUUAUUUUGUAUUUUGUUUAUACAUUAAAAUACUUUAAAUAUAUAUGUACAAAACUGCACUUUAAAAACACAUAAAAAAUAUUUAAAAAAUGUUGAAUAAAUAUUAGAAAUCUUAAAAAAGAUUUUGAAAAUGUUGAAUAAUUAUUAAAUAAUUUUCAACGAGUACAUGAAAAAUGAUGAACAAGUAUUUGAAAAUGUUGACUAUUGAUAAUGUUGAAACAUUAUUUAAAAAUGUUGAAUACGUACUAAAAAUGUUAAACAAGUAUUUGAAAAAUAUUGAAUAAUUAUUAAAUAAUUUUGAGCCAGUAUUUGAAAAUGUUGAACAAUUAUAUGAAAAGUGUUCAAUAAGUAUUAAAAAAUGUUGAAAUAGUAUUUGAAAAAUCUUGAAUAAGUAUUAAAAAUGUUAAACAAAUAUUUGAAAAAUAUUGAAUAAUUAUUAAACAAUUUUGAGAGAGUAUAUGAAAAAUUGUGAACAAAUAUUUGAAAAUGUUGAAUAAGUAUUUAAAAUGUUGUACCAUUAUUUGAAAAAUACUGAACAUGUAUUUGAAAAAUAUUGAACAAGUAUUUGAAAAAUGUUGGACAAGUAUUUGAUUUUUUUGAACAUGAAUUUUGAAAAAAUAUUGAAUAAGUGUUCGGACAGUGUUGAACGUGUAUACACAGAAUGUUUAUCACUUAUUAGAAAAUGUUUUGGACAUAUACAAAAAAGUAGAGGGAAAACGAAAACAAACAUAAGAAAAAACAAAGAAAUAGAGACAAAAAAACCCCAAAAUAAUGGAGAAGGAAAAAGAGAACCAAACAAAAAUGAAGAAGAAAAAAGAAAAGCAAACCAAAAAACGAGGAAAGCCAUGUCAAAAAAGAAAAACAAAAACCAAAAAAAAACCCGUGAUGAAAACAGAAAAACGGUGGAAAACCGUAUCGUCGCCCUAAAAAAGGUCACGCCUUCUGUUUUAACAGAAAGCUAAUUGUACCUCAAUAUCUUCCUACAUUGGCUACCUGCCAGGAGAAUAGGGUUCAAAUCCUCGAAACUCCCUUUUUGCUUCUUUUUUGGAAUUUUCUUAUUAUCCUUUCAUUUAUUUACAAAAUAUUUUUCAAACUAAAAAUACAAUAGUCAAUAUUCCUUAGAAAAUAGUUCAUUUUACUACCCUGAAAAAAGUUGGUGGUUCACAUAACCCCCUGAUCUUUAUUUCUGUUCCUUUCACCUCCUAAACAAUCCUAUACCGGGCAAAAUCAAUCCCUGGAUGGUUUUGACUCAUCUUGGCGCUGACGUGGCAACAGUCAAAUGGUGGUUUUGACCUGUGGGUGGGCCUCCGUUAGGUGGACCACGUUUUGUCGUCGCCUACCUCACCGAGCAUCGCCCCCUCGCACUCGAACCCUGCCCUGCCUCCGACCGACGCCGGUGACUACCGGAGUUCCAAGGCGCCACCCCGAGCGCCCCGCUUCUCCUUCCUCCCUUCUCUUUCCUCUCCCUCUCUCUUCCCUCGUAUCUCUCUCUCAGGUACAGGUCACUCCGCCGCCACAAGCUCGUCGCCGUACCAUCUUCACACCGUCGCCGGAGUCCGGAUCCGGCCGGAACCAGAUCAGAUGGGGGCGCCACCCUCGGAUCUGGUCGUCCCUCGCCUCCCCGCGCCGCCUGCAUCGCUGUAGCACCGCCGGCUCCACGUCCAUGGCCAGCCCUUGCUACCGCAUCCACACCCCUGACCAACCGCCUCUGGUCAAUGAGAGGCCAUGACCUCCGCAACCGCCUUGACCGUUGCAUCGGCCUCCUCUACGCACGGCUGCGCCUGAGCACGACCGCGCCGAUGCGUCGCCGCUGAAGCCCUCCACGCCGGCGACCUCGGAGCAGGACCGCGCCAAUGUGGCAUCAUUAGUUUAGGUCCCCUUCUGUUAAUCCGAGACAUUGACAUGUGGGUCCCCUUCAUCACUAGGUUUAGUCUGAGACAUUGACAUGUGGGCCCCCUUCUGUUAAUGAUGCAAUUAGGGCUAAAUUAGUCCCUUGUUAAUCUCCGUGCAGCCGAGAUGUUGGACCCAUGUGUCAUAUUUGACCAGGCCCAACAGUCAGUGAGAGUGUCUAGCUGAGAGGGACCCACCCGCAGGCCAAAUACCGCCUUUGACUGUGUCCACGUCAGCAUCCGGUAUGUGCAAAACCAGCCAGGGACGGUUUUUGCCUGGUUUGGGAUUGUUUAGGGAGGUAAGGGAACCGAAAAAAGAUCAGGGGGUUAUGUGAACCACCAACUUUUUUCAGGGUAGUAAAAUAGACUUUUUUCUAUUCCUUAUAAUAGAUAUACUUAAUUAUAUCAUAAGAAUCUUAAGAUAUUUUUUGACUAGAUAGAAAUAGUAAAUUUCAAUCGAGACACCUAUUCCAUGACAGAUUUAAACUUAGCUUCUAUUUUCAUGUCUUUAGUAGGCUUAGUACUUCUGGCAAUCGCAAUGACUUCUUUAUCUCUUUAUGUGCAAAACGAUAAGAUUGUCUACUCUUUUUUAGUGUAAGUAAUAUAAUAUGGUAGGGUAUGUGGCUUUAUCUACACAUAGAUGAAAAACGGUUAUGGAUGCGGAUAUAAUAUAGGCUACGAGCAUAAGUGCAUGAAUAUCCAGAGCCAGGUAUAGCGAGUUUUAUCUUAUUUAUUUUAAUUGAAUCAAUGAAUAUAUUUUGAAUAGAAAGUCAAUGCAUCUAGCCUAUUAUUUCACAGGAGUACUAGUUGCUGAAGGCGAUUUCAGAAUAAAAAAAGUAAAGUCAAAAUUAUUCUCUUCUUUUAACUACAUAUGCUAAUGGGCCUGUCUAGUUGUUAGGCGAACCUUCAGCAUGAGAGGAGCAACUUCUCUCGCUAAAGGCGAGAAAUAAACACCGCGCAAUGAGCCUACUACGAUUUCUGCUCUUUAUCGCCUUUCUUUUUCACUACACACAGUUUGAAAAAUGUUCACAAAGUAGAAAUUUGUCAGUAAAUUUAAAAAUUGCUCAUGAAUUUGAAAAAGGGGGUCACAAAAUAAAAAACAUGAAUGUUAUAAUGAGUUGUAAUGUUCAAAAACAAAUGGGUUCGAAUCAGUUUUCAUAAAUUUUAAACUUUUCUGCGACAUCCAAAAAAUGUCCAUGAAUUGGAAAAAAUGUCCAUGAAAUCAAAUAAUGUCGCCGGAUUCAACAAAAUGUUCAAGGAAUCGAAACUUCUUCAUAAAUCUGAAAAAUAUUCCCGAAUACGAAACACAUCUCAGGAAAUAAAACAUUUUCAAUAAUUCAAAAAAAGUAUGUGAAUACAAAAAAUGUUCAUGAAUUUGAAAUUUUGUUCUAGAUUCAAAAACAUUAUUGUGAAUUCAAAAUUUAUUUUUGAAUUCAUUAAAUCAAAAACUAUUCAUGAAUAUGAAUAAUAUUCACGAUUUUUUAAAACUGUUUACAAAUUCAAAAAUUAUUCAAGAAAUAAAAAAAUGUUCAUAUAAAUACAAAUAAUGAAAAAACCGGAAGGAAACCAAAAUAAGCUAUGGAGAAAACAAAAGGAAAUCAAACAUAGAAAUAAAAAAAGAAAACCAAUGAAACACAAACAAAAAUAAAAA
Molecule: long non-coding RNA, 4776 nt
Filed under: Triticum aestivum (bread wheat)
Lineage: Eukaryota; Viridiplantae; Streptophyta; Magnoliopsida; Poales; Poaceae
Description: long non-coding RNA (TAES_LNC010627)
Source: RNAcentral